ACUACGGGAGGCUGCAGUGGGGGAUAUUGCACAAUGGGGGGAACCCUGAUGCAGCGACGCCGCGUGGGUGAAGAAGCGCCUCGGCGCGUAAAGCCCUGUCAGCAGGGAAGAAAAUGACGGUACCUGAAGAAGAAGCCCCGGCUAACUACGUGCCAGCAGCCGCGGUAAUACGUAGGGGGCAAGCGUUAUCCGGAUUUACUGGGUGUAAAGGGGGCGCAGACGGCGAUGCAAGCCAGGAGUGAAAGCCCGGGGCCCAACCCCGGGACUGCUCUUGGAACUGCGUGGCUGGAGUGCAGGAGGGGCAGGCGGAAUUCCUGGUGUAGCGGUGAAAUGCGUAGAUAUCAGGAGGAACACCGGUGGCGAAGGCGGCCUGCUGGACUGCAACUGACGUUGAGGCCCGAAAGCGUGGGGAGCAAACAGGAUUAGAUACCCGGGUAGUC
Molecule: ribosomal RNA, 440 nt
Filed under: uncultured bacterium
Lineage: Bacteria
Description: partial 16S ribosomal RNA
Rfam family: Bacterial small subunit ribosomal RNA
Source: RNAcentral